Molecule: ribosomal RNA, 497 nt
Filed under: uncultured bacterium
Lineage: Bacteria
Description: partial 16S ribosomal RNA
Rfam family: Bacterial small subunit ribosomal RNA
Source: RNAcentral
GACGAACGCUGGCGGCGUGCCUAACACAUGCAAGUCGAACGAACAGACGCGGAUUUUGUGCGUCUGUCGUUAGCGGCGGACGGGAGAGUCACACGUGUAUAAUCUACCUAUCAGACUGGGAUCAUCACGGGAAACCGGAGCUUAUACCGGAUAAUAUAUUGAACCGCAUUGUUCAAUAGUGAAAGUCGGUUUUUGUGUCACUUAUAGAUGGAUCCACGCCGGAUUAGCUAGUUGGUAAGUAAACGGCUUACCAAGGCAACGAUGCGUAGACGAACUGAGAGAGUGGUAGCCCACACGGGAAGUGAGACAGGGUCCAGACGCCUGCGGGAGGCAGCAGUAGGGAAUCUUACGCAAUGGGCGAGAGCCUGACGGAGCAACGCCGCGUGAGUGAUGAAAGUCUUCGGAUCGUAAAACUCUGUUAUUAGGGAAGAACAAAUGUGUAAGUAACUAUGCACGUCUUGACGGUACCGGGUCAAAAAGCCACGGCUAACUACGUG